Molecule: ribosomal RNA, 301 nt
Filed under: uncultured bacterium
Lineage: Bacteria
Description: partial 16S ribosomal RNA
Rfam family: Bacterial small subunit ribosomal RNA
Source: RNAcentral
CAGUAGCCGCGGUAAUACGUAGGGUGCAAGCGUUAAUCGGAAUUACUGGGCGUAAAGCGUGCGCAGGCGGUUAUAUAAGACAGAUGUGAAAUCCCCGGGCUCAACCUGGGAACUGCAUUUGUGACUGUAUAGCUAGAGUACGGCAGAGGGGGAUGGAAUUCCGCGUGUAGCAGUGAAAUGCGUAGAUAUGCGGAGGAACACCGAUGGCGAAGGCAAUCCCCUGGGCCUGUACUGACGCUCAUGCACGAAAGCGUGGGGAGCAAACAGGAUUAGAUACCCCGGUAGUCCAUGUCUCUUAUAC